This 591-nucleotide long non-coding RNA is filed under the name Salmo salar (Atlantic salmon). RNAcentral's name for it is "lncRNA (ENSSSAG00000090730.1)". Lineage: Eukaryota; Metazoa; Chordata; Actinopteri; Salmoniformes; Salmonidae. The record is from RNAcentral.
GGCGGUAAAUAACUUUAAGAACGAGACCGGUUACACCAACCGCAUGAUGACGAGAGUAGCCCAGCCCCCCGUCGUCCCCACCCCUCCUCUCCAGCCUCAAUCCCGCCCUCAGUGCCCGCUCCAGCCUAUCAGGAGCCAGCAGGACCCUCUCAUGCCCCGCCCUCCAGCCUUAGACACGCCACCAUUGGCUCAGCAGCAGCAGCAGGUUGGCCCGCCCCUCAGACACAGCCAGUGAAACAGAGGUGUCUGUGAGGUUGAGGUAAGGUUUUAGUAACGAUGCUACAUGUCUGUUUUUCCAGAGAGCCAGAGAGUGGAGGAGUUCAGUCUGUGGUGGUCUCAGCCGACCCCCUCUAGCCAAGGGAUAUCGUGUUCCAGUGAUGGGUCAACCCCAGUCUGACGGUCACUCCUCCCUGCAGAGGACAGGUCCUCCACCCAGGUCCAAUCCUCCCAGACUUCCUGAAGGACCAGUCCAUUGGGACAGAUACAGCCCCUCAGGUCGUGGCAGGAACCAUAGCGACCGCGCCCCUCCCUCCCAGCCUCUGCCGCCCUCCAACGUGCCACCCCCUCUCUACAACCCUCCCUCCAUUUUCU